UUUUUUUUUAUUUUUCUAAAUAUAUUUAAGUGCACUGUUGGUUGAAUCCUCAGAUGUAAAACCCAAAGAUAUAGAGGGGUGCGUGUACUCUAGGAGAGUGGUGACAACCUUGGAUAGAGUGGCUGAUGAAGGUAGACAAAAUGAGUUAAUAUGAAACUUACCAAGGUUGGAACAUGAACAAACAAGAUGAUAGAAUCAGAGACAUGGCACAGUGGUUCUGAUAAAGAAGGAUUUCAUUAUUCUCUAUGUAUGGAAUAAAGUAGAAUGUGAUCCCACUAAAUGAUGUCAAAAAUAGCAUAGGAAGGUUAGUUUGCAAGGGGAAAUAGAACAUGAGUUGGGUACAAGGUGCCCAAAGGAGAGUUGAAGAUAGAGCCCCAGCGCAUGGAGGAGAGGUUCAUAUAGAACACAUACCUUACAGUGUCUGACUUCUAGUUUUUACUAACAGAAUGAAUGUGGUUGAACUUGCUGAGGAGAGAGCAUAUAGAGUCUGAUGAAGAGUGGGCAUAAAACAAGCCUUGAAAAAUGCCAAAUCCGAAGACUACGGCAGAGAGAGAACAAUGGACUGAAAUAUUAUGAAAGGCAUAAGACGCUUUACUGUGAGUGAAGUCAACCCACAGAAUCAUGAGGAAGAAAUGUCAAUCCGCUGGUUUGGCAAGGUGUUUUAUCACAGCAGCUGGGAAGCAAUCAGGGAUGAUUACCAGAAGAGUGAGAGACCCAGCUUCAUGGAUGACCUUAGCCACUUGGACUCAAGAGUUAUAUACUGAAGACAAUCACAAGAACUGGUUGCUUCUCAUAAGCUAUUAGUCCGAUUAUAUUUUGAAAUAAAAUUCUAUUGAAAAGGGG
Molecule: long non-coding RNA, 843 nt
Filed under: Rattus norvegicus (Norway rat)
Lineage: Eukaryota; Metazoa; Chordata; Mammalia; Rodentia; Muridae
Description: long non-coding RNA NONRATT032957
Source: RNAcentral